GUCCUCCAAUACGCCACCUGCUCCCAUCCAUUCAGCACCGCCACCCGCUUCAGCACCUGCUCGUCGGCCGCCGCCGUGCGGAGCCACCUGCCCAGCUCUUCGCCCCGCCUGCCUACGCCUAUCACAGCCACGCACCACUUCGCCUCCCCCUGCCCAUUGCCUCCUACACAAUCGCCUUGAAUCACAGGAGCUGCAUCUCAUCUCUCUCCCUGUAGUGAUGGUCACGGGCUGAUGUUGCUGCUCCUCUCCAUCAGGAUCUAUCUCUUUCUCUUUGUCUCUAUCUCUCUCUCAUGGAUCGGCAACUGCAUUCUUCCCAAAUAUGUGUGCCCCUCUGCUCUGGAUAUUACGCCCACAACAUGUUUGAUGUUAUGCUUAUGAGGAGUUGAACUUCAAUUUUUUCAAGUUUUUCUUUUGUGUAUCAGGCAUUCAGGCCUGGUGUAAUUUCUUUUCAGAAGUGAACAUGUUGUACAGUCCAAUGUAUCUAGGAAAAUUAAGUUAUGGAGAGUUGUUCAUCAUGUUGCUUGCAUAUUUUUUUGUCUAACAAACUAGAUACUUCAAUUUUGGAUAUAAACAUUGAGUAGGUGCUGAAAUAUUUCGCUAAUAAUAGUUUCCAACUUGCUUUUUAGCAGAACUACAGAACUAUUUGCAGCUUUUAAUUAUGUGUACUUAAAAUGGAUUUGGUGUCCAGGACAUGUGGAGUUGAUAUCAAGUUGAAUUAUGUGCUGAUGUUCUUCGAUAGAAUAAUUGUUCUUCUCCUUUAAAAAUGAUGGACCAUUGACUUAUUUUUUUUAGAUGCUCAAAUACACACACAAACGACAUCCAGUAAGCACUUGGACACCCGGCAGAUUGAAAGUACAGAAGCAAAGAUAUCCAAUACGAGGCCACGAUGCCCGACAGAGACACGGCCAAUACGCUCCUAAUCUUUAUUUCUUGAUUUUGGAACCACAAGUAAGAGCAUGUUCAUGUUUACUUAUUAUGUUUUUUUUGGAGAAAUUUUGGGGAUUUACAAGCUGAAAUUAUUGACUGUUUGAAAAAAAUGUUUUAACCAAAACUGUUUGAACAAUGUUGCCCUGGUUCUGCAUUCAUGGAAUUGCUAAAAAAGUUGAACAAGUUCAGUCAGAGUUUUGUCCCUGUUAAUAUUCAGUUCGAAGUGCCAGUUUGUUUCCACUUGCUCAUCUUAAUGUUGAACUAUACAUGUACUUAUCUUUAAAGUUCUGUUGUCUUCAUGAACUAAUUAGAUUUUUCAGCACUACUGAACUAAUUGGAUGCCAUCUUAAAUUACCUUCCCUUUGACAUUAUUGUACAGAUUCCUGAAAGACUGCCCAGUGUUUCAGCUGCGUACAUGUCUACAACAAUACUAGCAGAUCUGAAUUUGUGUUGCUAAGGUGUAGACUGACCUGACUUCGAGGGAAAAACAUGAAGAUUAGAGUGCCCUUUUUUCCCUUCCAAUUCCAUUUUCAGCAGCUAUCAGACAUGCAUAGAAAAUGUACUUUUGAGUACUUACAAUAUUAUUUUGCUACCUGCAGAGUUGUUCGAGUGGUAAUUUGUUUUACAAAUUUCUACAACAGGUUGCAUCAGCGGUUCACAACGGAGGAAGCUGUGGCGACUGCUACUGCGGCAACAAGGCGCUAGCUAGCUAGGUGUACCUGAAACAAUAAGUUUGCUUUUCACUUCAGAAUUCGGAGGAAGUCAACGUUUGUUUUGUAGUUCAAACCAACCACUGGUUGAA
RNAcentral lists this long non-coding RNA (1729 nucleotides) under Triticum aestivum (bread wheat). Its description in RNAcentral is "long non-coding RNA (TAES_LNC027817)". The record is from RNAcentral. Lineage: Eukaryota; Viridiplantae; Streptophyta; Magnoliopsida; Poales; Poaceae.